This 8127-nucleotide long non-coding RNA is filed under the name Selaginella moellendorffii. RNAcentral describes it as "long non-coding RNA (SMOE_LNC001112)". The record is from RNAcentral. Lineage: Eukaryota; Viridiplantae; Streptophyta; Lycopodiopsida; Selaginellales; Selaginellaceae.
UUUGGUUUCUAAUAUCUAAAUUGAGCCAAAGAUGCCUCAAGCUAAAACAUCUUUCUAAAUACAUGACCUACUUGAAAAUAACAGCUAUCUAUUGUCUUUAUAUUUUUUAAUCUCAAUUUCUGAAAAGAGACAAUCAGGGAAACAAAGACUUGAUAUACAAACUACAAUAAAAGUAAUAAAUAUCUAAAACCUAGAUGCUUUGGAUUCCAAGUACUUUUGUCAAUGUUGCAAACUUUUGCCUUUGAAACGUGAUGAUAAAUUUAUCUCUGUCUAUAUACUGUUUAUAGUCUUGUGGUGCCCAUCAAGAAGCAUAAAUAUUCUUUGUGAUAUAUUACUAAAACGAAACAGGACAGUUUGCCAUGUGAAGAUCAUUAUCAUUGUCUCGUUGGUCUUUGUAGAUUCUUCGUGCUCAAGGUUACCACAAGUUAGCCAGGGACACCCUCAAUCAGCCCUAAGCCGAGUUGAUGGCUUAGUCGUGAGUGCCAUUUGGCUCUCCAUCUUGCUGGAUUUUCCCAUCCUGUCGCUUUGAUGCAAACGACUCCAGGAACACUGUCGCAAUAAUAUUGUAGAAAUGGAUUUUGACAAGGAACAGAACUUCGAAAAUAGAACUUUAGAGAAUGCUACUUGGAACAAGGCAAAGGGAGGCCCACAAAACCGUCGAGCUUUUCCUCCCCCUCUAACUCACGAACUUUGUCACAAGCACAUUGUAAGUUUUCUUUUGCAAAUGCUUACGUACUGAUCAGUAGGCGUGACAUCUCCUGCUAUAGGGUCGAGUUUUUAGGAUCCUAGAAAUCUACUCCAGGACAAGACGAUCAAGACGUUAAUACAGUUGUAAUUUUUUUAAAUUAAUAAGCUAAAUGCGCGAAUCUUUCCAAAACAGCAACGUCACUUUGGUCUUUUCUUAGUUUCUUGUCCAGCUGAGAACAGAGGUUUGUCUAGCUCAAGCAUGAGUUUCUAAAUGAAUACGUCCUGCGUUCUGACAUGGUUGAAUUAUCCUUGCUCAUAUUUACGACCAGUAAACAUUACAUAAUCAACGGCUACUUUGAUUUUCUUCCUCUCGCAGCAAGGUGGUCCCUUCGUACUCGGUGCUCGCUCCCUCCUCGCCUGCCAAAUACCUCCCUGGUAUGGAAGUCCUGGUGUUGCCGUAGGUUUUAAGCCUGACUUUUCUAAGGUUUGAUGUGGUUGCAGCAAAGUUUUUAGUUUCUCAGAUUUUAUUACAUGCAGGCGAGGGAAAAAUGGCGAAGUCAGGUUUCCAAGCUUGAAAAUAGUGUGUUUUGGGCGGAAUGCAACCACCGUGGGACGCUUCUUGGUCUUAAGAAGCUAAUACAGGUGCUAUUGGGAAACGUUGAUGUUCUACAGCUCUCUACGUUUCACUGGAUGGAGCUGCUGGUGGCGCAUUUCCUACAUCUGAUACCUUUUUCUUUGGUAUGUAUGAACUGUGUAGUGUGCUAAGUUCACUUGCAAUUAUCGGGUGCAGGUCUUAGAUGGAAUGCGUAGCAUAGCUUCCAAGUGCAAAGGAUUGAAAAGUUCUGGGGACGAAGACCUUCAAGAACUUUUAUCUGCAAUUAUCAGCAACGACACCGAGGUAAAUGCUCUUCCCAGUACUAUACAGAUACUCUUUGCGAAGUGUACGAAGGUUUUCAAUGCCUGGUAAGAACUUCUCAUGUCGAAUAUUUAUAUAAAUUUUCUAUCAGGAUGAUGGCGCAUGUUGAUGAUCUCCUGAUAGCAAAAGGGGAGGACGUUCGAUCUCUUCUUGAAGAAGACAGGCAAACUCUAGGCGGCUUGAGCUUGAAAGAACUCCAUCGUUUGGUUUAUUCUCAAGUACUGUCUUCGCACAGCUUAACCUGGCAGGUAUAUCGUUGAUUUCUUUGUUCUUGAUGUUUGUCUAACAAUUAUCUCAGCUAGCACCUGUUUACCUCGCGGCUUGCCCAAAGCAAGGCCUGGGAAUGCUUGAAGCUCUCCUAAUGAAGCAGAGUUGUUCCAAUCAGAAACUGGCAUUGAAGGUUGGUCUUGGUGUGACGUUUUCUUGAAUCUUAAUGUGAAUUUUGUGCAACAGGCACUAGAGAUAUGCCGCCUCUAUGAACCUGAUACCGUGAGCACAGCCAUCGCCAGGGUUUAGUAUCCUCUUCCUUUCCAGGCUUGGGGUUCUCACCUGUGUUUUAUGUCUUCCAGGCUGUUGGUGUUCAUAGUUUAAAGCAUGGAAAGAAGGGCCAAGGGAUAAUGUGGCUUCAAUUGGCCCGAGACGAGCAGAGGCUUUCUACUCUUGCGGAUAGCUUUUGAACACAAUAACGUCUGGUGAAGCUGAUAGUCUGGAUAAUCUCGAGGUAGCAGUCUUACGUUUUAUUUGAUACACGCACACUUUUAACGCUCUUUUCCCGUGCCAGCAUUUUGAGGGUCUCUGUGACAUCCUUGGCUCGGGAGCAACGAAGCAUCAAGGCCUGUCGUUCCUAGCAAGGUACUCACUUCAUACAGUUGCAAAACUAUCCGGAGCUCACUUCCAACUUCACGCAGGUACAAAAGCUUUAAGGCAGCGCUGCAAAACAUCAGAGAUCUGCGUUGUAGGGAGGCUUCCUACACCCGAACGGAUUGGUAACCUGGAGAAGAGAAGUCACCGCUGCUCUGCCAAGUGCAGCGAGGUUUUCGUAAAACCCCGGCUUGCAGCUUCUAAAAUCUGGAACCUUUCCACGUAAAUUCUGGCUGUCCUUGCUCCAAGAAUCGGUAUGGAGCUGUUCUCACGUCUCGUUUACACUCUAAACUUCGGAUCGAUCAGAUGGAGCUGCUGGAAUGGCCGGAGCAAGUGCUGGUUAGCGAGUCCGAAACAAACACUCUACUCUGCUGCCUCCAGGAACUCUUCCUCGCCAGGGACCGCCUAGAGAACGACAUCCUAGGCACCGCAGAGCCUGGCGCUGUGGAUCGCCUGAGAUUGGCACUGGCAUCCAACUUGGGCCGUGCCAUCUUGCAAAGCUGAUCGUUUCUACGAAGGUAGGAAGGAUUUCUUCUUGAACUGUACAAUUCAGAAGCGUGAGUCUAAUUAAGCAAAUAGUUUGACCGUAAAACUUCGCUAAAAGUCAAUUUUUAGUCAACACAGUCUUCAGUUAUUGGAAGUGUUAGCUUUUCAUUGGUUUUCAAUGAAUAUAAUUGUUUAAUUUUCGUGGGCAGAAAUAUUCUGAAAGAAUAUUUAACAUGGUGGAUCUAAAGGAAGAUAAUAAACUCUAAGAAAAAGACUAUGGUGACAGGAAGGUGACUUAAAGAUGAUUGCAAUUAUUUCUUGGCGAGGGGAAAAUUGUUAAGCACCAAGUUAGGAUAAUAGGAUAAAAAAACAUUGUUACACACCAGAUCAAAAUAAUAGGAUAAAAAAGGGACUUUACAAUCAAAUAAUCACCCCUUUAACCAGUUAGGUUAAAGUGUAAAAAAUAGAAUCAUACUCCCAGGCUCCAUCAUGUGGUUCCUGAGCAGUGACACAAAACAAUCCUACUCUUGUUCUUGAUAGCUUGGCAUAAAUUCUCUCUGUCCAAAAAUCACUAGCUAAUUCUUAGCGUGCAACAAAUGUAGUUGCUCCACCACGAUCGCUGCUGCUUAUGCCGGUUGUCACCACCACUACCACUGCUACCAGCGCCACUGCUAAACUUUGGCAAGGGGUUUCUAACAUUCUCAAUGGCUUUCAUCAGGACGUUGCUAUUGGUAUGCUUGGGUGGUGGCAUCAAUAAAACAGAUGCAUGCAACACCUCUUUAUCCUGCCUUGGAAGUCAGGCUCCCAAUCUCAGACAAGUGCAAACAAGCUUUCGCUUUCGCAUGAGGUGUCUAAUGUAAACCACUGAAGACUGCACGCUCCUUUUGUUCUAUUUGCAGAGUUCACCUUCCGUAAGUUUAAGCCGCGCAAGUAGACCAUUGACGAGAUGAACCCAGACGCCAAAAAGAAGGCUGUGGAAGCUGCAGAUAACAUCUUUGGUUUCUAAUAUCUAAAUUGAGCCAAAGAUACCUCAAGCUAAAACAUCUUUCUAAAUACAUGACCUACUUGAAAAUAACAGCUAUCUAUUGUCUUUAUAUUUUUUAAUCUUAAUUUCUGAAAAGAGACAAUCAGGGAAACAAAGACUUGAUAUACAAACUACAAUAAAAGUAAUAAAUAUCUAAAACCUAGAUGCUUUGGAUUCCAAGUACUUUUGCCUUCCAGUGGAACAUUGAAACGUGAUGAUAAAUUUAUCUCUGUCUAUAUACUGUUUAUAGUCUUGUGGUGCCCAUCAAGAAGCAUAAGUAUUCUUUGUGAUAUAUUAAUAAAACGAAACAGGACAGUUUGCCAUGUGAAGAUCAUUAUCAUUGUCUCGUUGGUCUUUGUAGAUUCUUCGUGCUCAAGGUUACCACAAGUUAGCCAGCCUCAAUCAGCCCUAAGCCGAGUUGAUGGCUUAGUCGUGAGUGCCAUUUGGCUCUCCAUCUUGCUGGAUUUUCCCAUCCUGUCGCUUUGAUGCAAACGACCCCAGGAACACUGUCGCAAUAAUAUUGUAGAAAUGGAUUUUGACAAGGAACAGAACUUCGAAAAUAGAACUUUAGAGAAUGCUACUUGGAACAAGGCAAAGGGAGGCCCACCAAACCGUCGAGCUUUUCCUCCCCCUCUAACUCACGAACUUUGUCACCAGCACAUUGUAAGUUUUCUUUUGCAAAUGCUUACGUACUGAUCAGUAGGCGUGACAUCUCCUGUUAUAGGGUCGAGUUUUUAGGAUCCUAGAAAUCUACUCCAGGACAAGACGAUCAAGACGUUAAUACAGUUGUAAUUUUUUUAAAUUAAUAAGCUAAAUGCGCGAAUCUUUCCAAAACAGCAACGUCACUUUGGUCUUUUCUUAGUUUCUUGUCCAGCUGAGAACAGAGGUUUGUCUAGCUCAAGCAUGAGUUUCUAAAUGAAUACGUCCUGCGUUCUGACAUGGUUGAAUUAUCCUUGCUCAUACUUACGACCAGUAAACAUUACAUAAUCAACGGCUACUUUGAUUUUCUUUCUCUCGCAGCAAGGUGGUCCCUUCGUACUCGGUGCUCGCUCCCUCCUCGCCUGCCAAAUACCUCCCUGGUAUGGAAGUCCUGGUGUUGCCGUAGGUUUUAAGCCUGACUUUUCUAAGGUUUGAUGUGGUUGCAGCAAAGUUUUUAGUUUCUCAGAUUUUAUUACAUGCAGGCGAGGGAAAAAUGGCGAAGUCAGGUUUCCAAGCUUGAAAAUAGUGUGUUUUGGGCGGAAUGCAACCACCGUGGGACGCUUCUUGGUCUUAAGAAGCUAAUACAGGUGCUAUUGGGAAACGUUGAUAUUCUACAGCUCUCUACAAUUCACUGGAUGGAGCUGCUGGUGGCGCAUUUCCUACAUCUGAUACCUUUUUCUUUGGUAUGUAUGAACUGUGUAGUGUGCUAAGUUCACUUGCAAUUAUCGGGUGCAGGUCUUAAUGCGUAGCAUAGCUUCCAAGUGCAAAGGAUUGAAAAGUUCUGGGGAUGAAGACCUUCAAGAACUUUUAUCUGCAAUUAUCAGCAACGACACCGAGGUAAAUGCUCUUCCCAGUACUAUACAGAUACUCUUUGCAAAGUGUACGAAGGUUUUCAAUGCCUGGUAAGAACUUCUCAUGUCGAAUAUUUAUAUAAAUUUUCUAUCAGGAUGAUGGCGCAUGUUAAUGAUCUCCUGAUAGCAAAAGGGGAGGACGUUCGAUCUCUUCUUGAAGAAGACCUUGACAGAACUCCAUCGUUUGGUUUAUUCUCAAGUACUGUCUUCGCACAGCUUAACCUGGCAUUGAUUUCCUUCUUCUUGAUGUCUAAACCGGCUAGAGAACGACAUCCUAAGCACCGCAGAGCCUGGCGCUGUGGAUUGCCUGAGAUUGGCACUGGCAUCCAACUUGGGCCGUGCCAUCUUGCAAAGCUGAUCGUUUCUUCGUUGUCAAACAAAGGUAGGAUUUCUUCUUGAACUGUACAAUUCAGAAGCGUGAGUCUAAUUGAGCAAAUAGUUUGACCGUAGAACUUCGCUAAAAGUCAAUAUUUAGUCAACAUAGUCUUCUGUCACUGAGAAUGUUAGCUUUUCAUUCAUUUUCAUACUUGAACUCAGCAAUUAAUCUAUACACAUGUACGGCUACGUUGAUUUGUUAGUCACCCUCAGAACCAAGCACUACUACACCAGCGUCCUAGUCUUGGGCACCCGAAGCAUCUCACGCCUGCCUUGGAUGGAUACAAGCCGGGCUCCCAAUCUCGGACAAGCCCAAUCAAGCUUUUGCUACUCUUGCAAAAGGCCCCAGACCAGCGCAUGAAACGAGUGUGUGAUUUCACCCUGUUGACGUUCACGGCCCUUUUCAUUUCACCACUCUCCGAGACGAUGCUGUGAAACUUGACUUAGUGGACCUGUGGUUUUCCACAAGCGCUGGUUCCUUUGCGAUGCGAUGCGGUUCCAGCGACCGGCUGGGGCAAAGCCGUCUACGCAUUUGGCGAGGAGAGGAAGAAUCCCAACAAGUUAAGUGGCGUUGGGUCAAGCUAGACUACUGCACCGAAGGAGGCUUGGCGUUUUGGACCGAACGUGUUUGGUGUAGAUGCGUUUCCUGCACCGAACUAGUUUUCUGCGCUAAACUAAUCUUUCAGAACGCUCAUCCAAAUCACCUUUUGUUUUUUAACCGGGUAUACCUGCAAUUUUUGGAGGUAUAUGUAUGACAAAGUCAUGCAGCACGUGCUGCGAUGAUACUUCAUUUUGGGAUAAACAUGUUUUGUGCACUAAACUAACUCAUUUACCCCAUUAUAAAAAGUGAGUGUACAUACCUCUUCUGGUGCACAUACUUCUUCUGAAGGUGAAUUGCAAUGGCAACCAUGGCAACAAUGCAGGGAGCCUUCGGUUCAUUGAAGGAGAUUGGUGACAUUGUGGCGAAUUUUGAUUUCAGCAAGGUAAAGUUGAACCUGUCUUGCCCAAAGCAGUGCUUAACUCCUUGUGGAAUGCUCCAGAUUGAUGUGCGUUCCAAGACUGCUGAGGAUUACCUCCACACCAACCUGGCACCAUCGUUUGGGGGAUUGAAUGCAGAAACAGUGAAGAAGAUGGAUGAGGUUCUCAAAGUUUGCAUCUCGGGAACCACAGACCUUAUAGCCAAAGUGGCACCGAAAGAGCGAACUUGGGAGAAGGUCAACUCCAUGUUCAUGCAAAAUCCCCUGGUUGAGCCAAUGGGCGAUGGGAUUAGCAGAGCUGACAAGUUUCUCAACAAAAGCUCUAGCAAUUUCAGGAUUGACGGGUCACCGGACCCAGCUAUUGUGAAAGCGGUAAUAGAAUCAUGUAUUAUGGAAGAGCUCUAUUAACCUUUGCGGCCUUUUCUCGUCACAGGUUCAGGUCUGGUUUGUGAAUCUCGUCGCAGAUGAGGACGUCCUGAAAUCAACCAAGAUCGACAUUAAAGUUCUUGGGGAAAUUGUUGCUCAGUCAGGGGCGACCAUUACCAGCUUUGAAAAUUUCUUUGCCAAGCAUGAGCACCACGAGAAGACCAUAAUUGACAUCGGGGUCUUAAGGUACCCUGAUAUGCAAAACCCGUACUUCAAGGUUUGUGCCCAGGCUGCCCUUUGUAUUUCAGUCACCGCUCACGUUUUUGAGUACAGGUGUACCGCAUCAAACUCUUUGCUUGGUCUGAUAGCAACCGUAUUGUGUUCCAUCAGGAGGAUUCCAAUGGCAUCAUUGGAGGUGAGGUGUCUAAUGUAAACCACUGAAAGACUGCACGCUCCUUUUGUUCUAUUUGCAGAGUUCACCUUCCGUAAGUUUAAGCCGCGCAAGGAGGUCAUUGACAAGAUGAACCCAGACGCCAAAAGGAAGGCCGUGGAAGCUGCAGAUAACAUCUUUGGUUUCUAAUCCAAGAUGCCUCAAGCUAAAACAUCUUUCUAAAUACAUGACCUACUUGAACUAUCUAUUGUGUUUAUAAAAUAAUCACAAUCAGGGCAUAGACAAUAAAAGUAAUAAAUAUCUAAAACCUAGAUGCUUUGGAUUCCAAGAUGAUAAGUUUAUCUAUAUACUGUUUAUAGUCUUGUGGUAGUCUUAUGAUAUAUUAAUAAAACGAAACAGGACAGUAUGCCAUGUGUAUCAUUGUCUUGUUGGUCUUUGUAAAUUCUUCGCACUCAAGGUUACCACAAGUUAGCCAGGGACACCCUCAAUCAGCU